CACCCCCUCGGAACGCGCGGCCCACCGGGCUAAGUCAUUUUUAACUGCCCGGGAAAUUAUCUUGUCUUCGCAUUCUUGCCUCUGCUGGUGAGCCAGGUUGGGACCUCCAGUAUCACAUCAAAUAAUAAAGGUGAUCACCAAAGGGAAACUCUUUCUAAAAGAAAGGACGUGCCUCUGUGUUUAAGG
Molecule: long non-coding RNA, 186 nt
Organism: Manis pentadactyla (Chinese pangolin)
Lineage: Eukaryota; Metazoa; Chordata; Mammalia; Pholidota; Manidae
Exons: 3
Source: RefSeq, a predicted model, not a curated record